AUUGAACGCUGGCGGCAGGCCUAACACAUGCCAGUCGAGCGGAUGAAGGGAGCUUGCUCCUGGAUUCAGCGGCGGACGGGUGAGUAAUGCCUAGGAAUCUGCCUGGUAGUGGGGGAUAACGUCCGGAAACGGGCGCUAAUACCGCAUACGUCCUGAGGGAGAAAGUGGGGGAUCUUCGGACCUCACGCUAUCAGAUGAGCCUAGGUCGGAUUAGCUAGUUGGUGGGGUAAAGGCCUACCAAGGCGACGAUCCGUAACAGGUCUGAGAGGAUGAUCAGUCACACUGGAACUGAGACACGGUCCAGACUCCUACGGGAGGCAGCAGUGGGGAAUAUUGGACAAUGGGCGAAAGCCUGAUCCAGCCAUGCCGCGUGUGUGAAGAAGGUCUUCGGAUUGUAAAGCACUUUAAGUUGGGAGGAAGGGCAGUAAGUUAAUACCUUGCUGUUUUGACGUUACCAACAGAAUAAGCACCGGCUAACUUCGUG
This 484-nucleotide ribosomal RNA is filed under the name uncultured bacterium. RNAcentral describes it as "partial 16S ribosomal RNA". It matches the Rfam family "Bacterial small subunit ribosomal RNA", at positions 30 to 507 of the family's 1533-position model. The record is from RNAcentral.